Molecule: long non-coding RNA, 287 nt
Filed under: Ananas comosus (pineapple)
Lineage: Eukaryota; Viridiplantae; Streptophyta; Magnoliopsida; Poales; Bromeliaceae
Description: long non-coding RNA (ACOM_LNC006796)
Source: RNAcentral
CACAAAAAGCCUGUUUUUUUCUUAUAAAAAGAAUACUUUAUUCUUCUAUCAAAAACCUCAUUUAAGAACAAAAGUCUCUUGCCGACCGUUCCUAAAGCAAGUGGCAAAGGACUUGGUGGUUGGUACCCGAGGCUCCAAGUUUGAAUCAUAGUUGAUUCAUAUUUCCAGCUAAGUUUAUUUCUAAAUGAAAUAAACGAAGCAGGUAGCGUGCUACCUAUCUCUCUCAAAAAAAAAAAACGCCCUUUUUAAAAAAUUCUUAGAAACCAAAAGUAUAAUAUAAUCAUAAU